GGGGAUAUAGCUCAAUUGGCAGAGUGUUUGCCUCGCGUGCACAAGGUCCUGGGGUUCAAUCCCCAGCAUGACCC
Molecule: transfer RNA, 74 nt
Filed under: Ictidomys tridecemlineatus (thirteen-lined ground squirrel)
Lineage: Eukaryota; Metazoa; Chordata; Mammalia; Rodentia; Sciuridae
Description: Spermophilus tridecemlineatus (thirteen-lined ground squirrel) tRNA
Rfam family: tRNA
About the family: Transfer RNA (tRNA) molecules are approximately 80 nucleotides in length. Their secondary structure includes four short double-helical elements and three loops (D, anti-codon, and T loops).
Source: Rfam by way of RNAcentral